GAUGAACGCUGGCGGCGUGCCUAAUACAUGCAAGUCGAGCGAACGGACGAGAAGCUUGCUUCUCUGAUGUUAGCGGCGGACGGGUGAGUAACACGUGGAUAACCUACCUAUAAGACUGGGAUAACUUCGGGAAACCGGAGCUAAUACCGGAUGAUAUUUUGAACCGCAUGGUUCAAAAGUGAAAGACGGUCUUGCUGUCACUUAUAGAUGGAUCCGCGCUGCAUUAGCUAGUUGGUAAGGUAAUGGCUUACCAAGGCAACGAUGCAUAGCCGACCUGAGAGGGGGAUCGGCCACACUGGAACUGAGACACGGUCCAGACUCCUACGGGAGGCAGCAGUAGGGAAUCUUCCGCAAUGGGGGAAAGCCUGACGGAGCAACGCCGCGGGAGUGAUGAAGGUCUUCGGAUCGUAAAACUCUGUUAUUAGGGAAGAACAUAUGUGUAAGUAACUGUGCACAUCUUGACGGUACCUAAUCAGAAAGCCACGGCUAACUACGUG
This 497-nucleotide ribosomal RNA is filed under the name uncultured bacterium. RNAcentral's name for it is "partial 16S ribosomal RNA". It matches the Rfam family "Bacterial small subunit ribosomal RNA", at positions 28 to 507 of the family's 1533-position model. The record is from RNAcentral.